GAUUGGAUGAGAUGAUCUUUGGAGGUCCCUUCCAGCUCCUGACAUUCUGUGAUUCUGUGCAAACUUGGUUCACGGUAGUACUUUUGCUGCUGGGAAAUAGGAGCGCUGAUCUUUGGGAAGUUCCGGAUGCUGUCAGGAGUUAUUCAAGCCCAUUGGUGUUAAUUUGACCCUGGACUGGCUGCUGCUUGACAUGCUGUCUGCACAGAGAUAUUCAGGAGGAGCUGGAGCUAAUGAAACUGUGUGAGGAAGUUGUGAGCUUGAUCGGAUCUAAU
Lagopus muta (rock ptarmigan) is the source of this 272-nucleotide long non-coding RNA. RefSeq lists it as uncharacterized. The transcript is spliced from 3 exons. The record is from RefSeq and is a predicted model, not a curated record. Lineage: Eukaryota; Metazoa; Chordata; Aves; Galliformes; Phasianidae.